UCCCAUUAGACGUAACUGCCGUAACAAUUAUAGAGAAACAAAGAGAGAGACAGCAGCGUGCGUGUGUUGUGUGAUUGUUCGGUGCCGAACUUUGAUAUUCUGUGAAGAACUUUGGUUUUAUAAUAAAAGAAAGAAAUGGAGAACAGACUUCUCAUUAUCAGUUGGUCACACACCACCAGUUGUAGACACAUCACCAAAGUAACGCUACACAGUGUACAAAUCCAGUGGUAAGCAGAGGAAAGUGUAACACUGAUACAAACAGACUCUGAAGUGUUGACCUACAUCACGACACCAAACCUACACUGGUGUUCAACUCACGGGAUAAGUUAUUCAAAUCGACCUCUGAAGGGAGCAAGUAGUAUUGAAACGAUUGCAACAGUGUCGUAGCCGUGCCCUACACACACACAAACACACACACACACACACACAGACACACACACGUCAAGCCCGCUCCACUGCAUAACAACUUCACCCAGUUUCUCUCAGCCGCGCCGCGACAGUCGUCACUGCAGAAUCCUCUACCACGCAUUCAUCGGAAACUCAGUCUCAGCCGCAGUUGAUCAAGUAACCCAUUACUCAGGAACUGUUUGAAACUGCAGAGAAGAGAAAAGAAACAAGAACGAAGAAAGAAGAACUGAUGCUAGCAGUUGCAGCAGCACACAGCCAGACAAACCGUCGCCAGCGUCACUGCCGCCGCUGCUGUUGACGCAGCCGCAACCGUCUGCUGAGUCUUCACCACUACCAACACCAGCCUGAGGACUACCUGCCUAUGCAUCAGAAAAAUAUUGUGGAGUGAAUGUGGAGAAAAGUGGUCAAGAGGAACCCUGGAUGUACGCUGUCUGCACUACCAUUGUAUCACCAGUGUGAAAGGCUGCUCUGUCUCUCAAUCCAAUCACAGCACAGAUAGAUAAGGCGAGAACAAUGGAGUGUGAACGAUGGACUGCGAACACUGCCACUGCGAUCGUUCAGACUGCAGCCAAGUUAGAGACGCGAGAUAGACAAGCUAACGAAGAAACAGGUGAUGGAAGAGAGAGAGAGAGAGAGAGAGAGAGAGAGAGAGAGAGAGAGAGAGAGAG
Molecule: long non-coding RNA, 1076 nt
Organism: Portunus trituberculatus (swimming crab)
Lineage: Eukaryota; Metazoa; Arthropoda; Malacostraca; Decapoda; Portunidae
Exons: 3
Source: RefSeq, a predicted model, not a curated record